GACAGAGGUGCCGAGCGUUAGGCGGAAUCACUGGGCUUAAGGCGUGUGUAGGCGGAUCGUUAAGUACCUUGUGAAAUCCCACGGCUCAACCGUGGAACUGCUGGGUAUACUGGCGGUCUUGAGCCACCUAGGGGCGAGCGGAACAAGCGGUGGAGCGGUGAAAUGCGUAGAUAUCGCUUGGAACGCCGACGGUGAAAACAGCUCGCUGGGGGUGUGCUGACGCUGAGACACGAAAGCCAGGGGAGCGAACGGG
RNAcentral lists this ribosomal RNA (253 nucleotides) under uncultured bacterium. RNAcentral's name for it is "partial 16S ribosomal RNA". It matches the Rfam family "Bacterial small subunit ribosomal RNA", at positions 524 to 776 of the family's 1533-position model. The record is from RNAcentral.